CCUACGGGAGGCAGCAGUGGGGAAUAUUGGACAAUGGGGGGAACCCUGAUCCAGCCAUGCCGCGUGUGUGAAGAAGGCCCUCGGGUUGUAAAGCACUUUCAGUGAGGAAGAACGCCUGGUGGUUAAUACCCAUCAGGAAAGACAUCACUCACAGAAGAAGCACCGGCUAACUCCGUGCCAGCAGCCGCGGUAAUACGGAGGGUGCGAGCGUUAAUCGGAAUUACUGGGCGUAAAGCGCGCGUAGGUGGCUUGAUAAGCCGGUUGUGAAAGCCCCGGGCUCAACCUGGGAACGGCAUCCGGAACUGUCAAGCUAGAGUGCAGGCGAGGAAGGUAGAAUUCCCGGUGUAGCGGUGAAAUGCGUAGAGAUCGGGAGGAAUACCAGUGGCGAAGGCGGCCUUCUGGACUGACACUGACACUGAGGUGCGAAAGCGUGGGUAGCAAACAGGAUUAGAUACCCUUGUAGUC
RNAcentral lists this ribosomal RNA (465 nucleotides) under Vreelandella stevensii. RNAcentral describes it as "partial 16S ribosomal RNA". It matches the Rfam family "Bacterial small subunit ribosomal RNA", at positions 338 to 795 of the family's 1533-position model. The record is from RNAcentral. Lineage: Bacteria; Pseudomonadati; Pseudomonadota; Gammaproteobacteria; Oceanospirillales; Halomonadaceae.